Molecule: ribosomal RNA, 497 nt
Filed under: uncultured bacterium
Lineage: Bacteria
Description: partial 16S ribosomal RNA
Rfam family: Bacterial small subunit ribosomal RNA
Source: RNAcentral
GAUGAACGCUGGCGGCGUGCCUAAUACAUGCAAGUCGAGCGAACAGACGAGGAGCUUGCUCCUCUGACGUUAGCGGCGGACGGGUGAGUAACACGUGGAUAACCUACCUAUAAGACUGGGAUAACUUCGGGAAACCGGAGCUAAUACCGGAUAAUAUAUUGAACCGCAUGGUUCAAUAGUGAAAGACGGUUUUGCUGUCACUUAUAGAUGGAUCCGCGCCGCAUUAGCUAGUUGGUAAGGUAACGGCUUACCAAGGCAACGAUGCGUAGCCGACCUGAGAGGGUGAUCGGCCACACUGGAACUGAGACACGGUCCAGACUACUACGGGAGGCAGCAGUAGGGAAUAUGCCGCAAUGGGCGAAAGCAUGACGGAGCAACGCCGCGUGAGUGAUGAAGGUCUUCGGAUCGUAAAACUCUGUUAUUAGGGAAGAACAAAUGUGUAAGUAACUAUGCACGUCUUGACGGUACCUAAUCAGAAAGCCACGGCUAACUACGUG